Molecule: unclassified non-coding RNA, 287 nt
Filed under: Hevea brasiliensis (rubber tree)
Lineage: Eukaryota; Viridiplantae; Streptophyta; Magnoliopsida; Malpighiales; Euphorbiaceae
Source: RNAcentral
GAAGAGGACCUGGUAGUGUUAUAGGAUCCAGUGCUGCUGGUUGUGUUUGUGCUCUGUUCAUGAUAAACAAAGUUGGGGGAGAAGCAUUUGCUCAACUUUGGCGACUUGGUUUUGUUGCCAGUUUCUGUACUAAAUUGAGUGAUACUGUCUCAAGUGAAAUAGGGAAGGCAUAUGGUAGGAUAACGUACCUGGUGACAACUUUUAAGGUAGUUCCUCGGGGAACAGAAGGGGCUGUCAGUCUCGAGGGAACCUUUGCUGGACUCUUAGCAGCAAUUGCUCUUGCAAUU